UAUCCGUAGGUGAACCUGCGGAUGGAUCAUUAAACAAAUCUACGUAUCAACCAACCGUGCACUUUGUUUUUUCCAACUUGCUCUAUCAGUUUGGAAGGGAUCCUCUUUCUCCUUCGGGGGGGGAGGUGAACGGAAAACCUGGUAUCAAGGUGGAAACUUAUUAACCCAUUGUAUUAUCAUCCCCAGUUAUUUUAUUUCUUUGUCGCGGCCUAACGGCGGACUUUCUAGUAAGAAAUUUUUGUACAACUUUUAACGAUGGAUAUCUAGGCUCUC
Molecule: unclassified non-coding RNA, 273 nt
Filed under: root metagenome
Description: partial contains small subunit ribosomal RNA, internal transcribed spacer 1, and 5.8S ribosomal RNA
Source: RNAcentral